UCAAAAUUUUGAGGAUUAUACCUUGAUGUAUUUCCAAAUGAAAAUGUGAGCAAUGAUUAAUGCACAAGUGGUGUUUCCUUCACCAGUGCAUAUAAUAAAUCAAGAGCAAGACCUGAUUUGGUGGAAACAAAGUUGUGAAAUUUGGAUCUUGAUUUGCACUAAAAACACUACAGUCCAUAGUGGCAACAACAAUAUCUGGACAACAUGCAGCUUCAUCUCUACACAGAAAAGAAUCAUAGAGGAAGUGCUAAAAGAUGAGAGCUAUAUCUGGGAGCUCAAGGCCCAGCUGAAUUCUCAUUUGUAUGAGUUGUAGGCAGGUCAAGAGGUUGCAUUGCAGUUGAAAACGUUUACAAGGGACGCUCAAGCAAGUUGCUAGUGUGAUCAACGCAGUGAUAAGGAAG
Molecule: long non-coding RNA, 401 nt
Organism: Dendronephthya gigantea
Lineage: Eukaryota; Metazoa; Cnidaria; Anthozoa; Malacalcyonacea; Nephtheidae
Exons: 4
Source: RefSeq, a predicted model, not a curated record